CAGUGGACGGCUAGAUGUGGGACCCAGUCGAAGGAUAUGGUUCCUUGUAGGGAUGAACGUUGACUUGAAUUUUACAUUCAUGUCACUCGACAACUUGACACGUGAUAUAUGGAAAUACGGUAACGAAAGUUCGGAUGAUGGACUGGGCCCUAAGAGGGGUCCACUUAGCACCGUCAUACCGAUGACUGUUGUUUAUGCUGUAAUUCUUGUUACCGGAACGACUGGAAAUGUGUGUACCUGUAUAGUGAUAGCUCGAAACAAAUAUAUGCAUACGGCAACUAAUUAUUAUCUGUUCAGUUUGGCCAUAUCGGAUUUACUCCUUUUAGUCUUGGGAUUGCCUCAAGAAUUAUAUGAAUUAUGGGUAAGAUAUCCUUAUAUUUUUGGUGAGAGCGUUUGUGUCAUACGUGGUUUGACUUCGGAAACUUCAACAAAUGCAUCAAUUUUGACUAUAACGGCCUUUACUGUCGAAAGAUACGUUGCUAUCUGUCACCCUUUGAGAGCCCAUACCAUGUCCCAUCUACCUAGGGCUAUUCGAACGAUACUAGCUAUCUGGAUGAUAGCGGCUGUAUUCGCUAUGCCCCUAGCUUUACAGUUUGGUAUUGUUUACGGAGAAACAGAAGAGGGUAAAAUAAUUUGGGAGUCAGCCGUCUGUAAUGUCAAAAGACCUUUACCACACGCCUUCGAAAUAUCAACUUUUCUAUUCUUUGUCCUUCCCAUCAGCGUUAUUUCCAUACUGUAUGUAUUUAUAGGACUAAGACUUAGAAUGUCGGGUCCUGGAAGAAGGAAAUGUUCACCAGAAACAACAAAUGGACCAGGACCAGGAAGACAAAAUCUUUCAUCGAGAAGAGCUGUCGUAAAAAUGUUAGUUGCUGUAGUAAUUUCUUUUUUCAUCUGUUGGUCACCAUUUCAUGCCCAACGUCUUCUGGCAAUUUAUGUCACAAAUCCAACUCCACUUGCAGUGACAACAUACACCAUCCUCACAUAUAUUUCUGGUGUGACCUAUUAUCUGAGUUCUACCAUCAAUCCUAUUCUAUAUCAAUUGCUGUCACUGAAAUUCCGCCAAGCCUUCAAAGAUACUUUUGGAUCGUGCUGCUUUUCUGAAAAAAACAGUAAUAUACCCGAAUUGACGUAUACAAGCACUUGUGGAAAUCAUAUUGAUUGUUCUGUUAAAUCGAGCAGACAUCGUCUCAGUUCCAGUUUCCAACAACUACCAUCAUUUUCGACUCAUAUUCAAUCGUCGAAUCUUCAGAAUGAAAAGAAAAACUUGUCAGCAUCUUGUGCCAAUGUUUGUAUCCAGGAGAAUGUACCCGAAAAAGUGUCUCUUUUAGGAACUCAUCUUACAGUUUCGAAUGUGUAAAAUCAACUCAGGACUAUUUUCUGGCCUUUCUUCAAUGUGUCUCUUCUAUAUUUACAUUUCGGAUUUAAUCAAG
This 1430-nucleotide unclassified non-coding RNA is filed under the name Centruroides sculpturatus (bark scorpion). RNAcentral's name for it is "pyrokinin-1 receptor-like, transcript variant X1". Lineage: Eukaryota; Metazoa; Arthropoda; Arachnida; Scorpiones; Buthidae. The record is from RNAcentral.